Molecule: ribosomal RNA, 456 nt
Filed under: Veillonella parvula
Lineage: Bacteria; Bacillati; Bacillota; Negativicutes; Veillonellales; Veillonellaceae
Description: bacterial SSU rRNA
Rfam family: Bacterial small subunit ribosomal RNA
Source: RNAcentral
GACGAACGCUGGCGGCGUGCUUAACACAUGCAAGUCGAACGAAGAGCGAUGGAAGCUUGCUUCUAUCAAUCUUAGUGGCGAACGGGUGAGUAACGCGUAAUCAACCUGCCCUUCAGAGGGGGACAACAGUUGGAAACGACUGCUAAUACCGCAUACGAUCUAAUCUCGGCAUCGAGGAUAGAUGAAAGGUGGCCUCUACAUGUAAGCUAUCACUGAAGGAGGGGAUUGCGUCUGAUUAGCUAGUUGGAGGGGUAACGGCCCACCAAGGCGAUGAUCAGUAGCCGGUCUGAGAGGAUGAACGGCCACAUUGGGACUGAGACACGGCCCAGACUCCUACGGGAGGCAUCAGUGGGGAAUCUUCCGCAAUGGACGAAAGUCUGACGGAGCAACGCCGCGUGAGUGAUGACGGCCUUCGGGUUGUAAAGCUCUGUUAAUCGGGACGAAAGGCCUUCUUUC